CGCGUAGGCGGUCUGUUAAGUUGCAUGUGAAAGACCAGGGCUUAACCCUGGGGUGUCAUGCAAAACUGGGAGACUUGAGUGCAGUAGAGGGAAGUGGAAUUCCUGGUGUAGCGGUAAAAUGCGUAGAGAUCAGGAGGAACACCGGUGGCGAAGGCGACUUUCUGGGCUGCAACUGACGCUGAAGCGCGAAAGCGUGGGGAGCGAACAG
This 208-nucleotide ribosomal RNA is filed under the name uncultured bacterium. Its description in RNAcentral is "partial 16S ribosomal RNA". It matches the Rfam family "Bacterial small subunit ribosomal RNA", at positions 568 to 775 of the family's 1533-position model. The record is from RNAcentral.